GACCUAACCAGAGCUUGCAGAGAAGACCAAAGUCAACUGAAAAGUUAUCUGGGGUGAAAUUAAUUACUAAAAAUUAUUUAAAGAAAUAAUUGGUUAAGAACCUACCCGUAGAUGUACAUGGGUGAGCCGGCCAAAGUCAAGCUUGUGUGUAGUCUAUGUGGAUUCUAGUGCCCACUAAGAAAUUAGGAUAAGUUCUCGAAUUAGAGG
RNAcentral lists this long non-coding RNA (207 nucleotides) under Elaeis guineensis (African oil palm). Its description in RNAcentral is "long non-coding RNA (EGUI_LNC057117)". Lineage: Eukaryota; Viridiplantae; Streptophyta; Magnoliopsida; Arecales; Arecaceae. The record is from RNAcentral.